Molecule: ribosomal RNA, 497 nt
Filed under: uncultured bacterium
Lineage: Bacteria
Description: partial 16S ribosomal RNA
Rfam family: Bacterial small subunit ribosomal RNA
Source: RNAcentral
GAUGAACGCUGGCGGCGUGCCUAAUACAUGCAAGUCGAGCGAACGGACGAGGAGCUUGCUCCUCUGACGUUAGCGGCGGACGGGUGAGUAACACGUGGAUAACCUACCUAUAAGACUGGGAUAACUUCGGGAAACCGGAGCUAAUACCGGAUAAUAUAUUGAACCGCAUGGUUCAAUAGUGAAAGACGGUUUUGCUGUCACUUAUAGAUGGAUCCGCGCCGCAUUAGCUAGUUGGUAAGGUAACGGCUUACCAAGGCAACGAUGCGUAGCCGACCUGAGAGGGUGAUCGGCCACCCUGGAACUGAGACACGGUCCAGACUCCUACGGGAGGCAGCAGUAGGGAAUCUUCCGCAAUGGGCGAAAGCUUGACGGAGCAACGCCGCGUGAGUGAUGAAGGUCUUCGGAUCGUAAAACUCUGUUAUUAGGGAAGAACAAAUGUGUAAGUAACUAUGCACGUCUUGACGGUACCUAAUCAGAAAGCCACGGCUAACUACGUG